GGGUUCUUCCCGGUACAGAGUACGUUUGACUGCUGGAUAUCGUGAACGCCACUUCACAACGAUGAUCCGUGCCUGUGUCAUCCUUGCCUUGAUCACCUGUGCCUGCGCUGGUUACCUCGGUUAUCCCUAUGGAUACUCCUGGGGUGCCGCAGCUGUACCAGUAUAUACAGCUUCACUAAGCACCUACGGCUACAAUUAUGGAUACGGUUUUCCAACCUAUGGGUAUGGAUACAGCCCAUAUGUUCUCAAUUACGGAUACGGCCUCGGUGGUCUAGGAUACCCCACAAUCAUCGGCAAAAAGUAGAUCUCACUGCUUCACACCCGGACAGCAUCACCGAUCAAUUUUCACGGAACUAAAAAAAAAGAAACAACGCCGACUUCACCGUCCUGACCAAUUCAAAACACAGUAUACAAUAAAUACUGAAAACAUCAUCA
Long non-coding RNA from Rhipicephalus microplus (southern cattle tick), 435 nucleotides. RefSeq lists it as uncharacterized. Lineage: Eukaryota; Metazoa; Arthropoda; Arachnida; Ixodida; Ixodidae. The record is from RefSeq and is a predicted model, not a curated record.